AAGGGAGACCUAAUUCAGGUAGGAGACGAAAAAAAAGUAGUCGCUACCAAGAAUCAAUCCCAAAAGGUCGGAGCGAGGCGAAAUUGGCUUUCAAACUAGGUUCUGGGUUCAAACAAGACCUGAAUCAGGAACAAGGGCUAUUAGCUCAGGUGGUUAGAGCGCACCCCUGAUAAGGGUGAGGUCCCUGGUUCGAGUCCAGGAUGGCCCACCUGCACAGGUGGCAAAAACAAAGAAGCGAGGAAUCAGCACCUUAUCUUAUCUAUAUAUAUAUAGGAGAGAAUGCUGGCUCUGAGUAAAGAGUCCAGAGGAACCUUGAAAACUGCAUAGAGCUAGGUGAAAAAGCCAAAAAAGAAGACCGCAA
Molecule: transfer RNA, 361 nt
Filed under: Microcystis sp. BG33
Lineage: Bacteria; Bacillati; Cyanobacteriota; Cyanophyceae; Chroococcales; Microcystaceae
Description: 16S-23S ribosomal RNA intergenic spacer
Rfam family: tRNA (bases 135-208)
Source: RNAcentral